This 497-nucleotide ribosomal RNA is filed under the name uncultured bacterium. Its description in RNAcentral is "partial 16S ribosomal RNA". It matches the Rfam family "Bacterial small subunit ribosomal RNA", at positions 28 to 507 of the family's 1533-position model. The record is from RNAcentral.
GAUGAACGCUGGCGGCGUGCCUAAUACAUGCAAGUCGAGCGAACGGACGAGAAGCUUGCUUCUCUGAUGUUAGCGGCGGACGGGUGAGUAACACGUGGAUAACCUACCUAUAAGACUGGGAUAACUUCGGGAAACCGGAGCUAAUACCGGAUAAUAUUUUGAACCGCAUGGUUCAAAAGUGAAAGACGGUCUUGCUGUCACUUAUAGAUGGAUCCGCGCUGCAUUAGCUAGUUGGUAAGGUAACGGCUUACCAAGGCAACGAUACAUAGCCGACCUGAGAGGGUGAUCGGCCACACUGGAACUGAGACACGGUCCAGACUCCUACGGGAGGCAGCAGUAAGGAAUCUUCCGCAAUGGGCGAAAGCCUGACGGAGCAACGCCGCGUGAGUGAUGAAGGUCUUCGGAUCGUAAAACUCUGUUAUUAGGGAAGAACAUAUGUGUAAGUAACUGUGCACAUCUUGACGGUACCUAAUCAGAAAGCCACGGCUAACUACGUG